Molecule: ribosomal RNA, 468 nt
Filed under: uncultured bacterium
Lineage: Bacteria
Description: partial 16S ribosomal RNA
Rfam family: Bacterial small subunit ribosomal RNA
Source: RNAcentral
GACGAACGCUGGCGGCGUGCUUAACACAUGCAAGUCGAACGUACAGGCCCUGCUUUUGUGGGGUGCUCGAGUGGCGAACGGGUGAGUAACACGUGAGUAACCUGCACUUGACUUUGGGAUAACUUCAGGAAACUGGGGCUAAUAUCGGAUAGGAGCUCCUGCUGCAUGUUGGGGGUUGGAAAGAUUCGGCGGUUGGGGAUGGACUAGCGGCUUAUCAGCUUGUUGGUGGGGUAGUGGCUUACCAAGGCUUUGACGGGUAGCCGGCCUUAGAGGGGGACCAGCCUCAUUGGGACUGAGAGACGGCGCAGACUGCUACGGGAGGCAGCAGUGGGGAAUAUGGCGCAAUGAGCGGAAGCCUGAUGCAGCAACGCCGCGUGCGUGAUGACGUCCUUCGGGUGGUAAACCACUUUCGCCUGAGACGAAGCGGUAGUGACGGUAAUGGGUAAAGAAGCACCGGCUAACUACGUG